Molecule: long non-coding RNA, 465 nt
Organism: Daphnia magna
Lineage: Eukaryota; Metazoa; Arthropoda; Branchiopoda; Diplostraca; Daphniidae
Exons: 4
Source: RefSeq, a predicted model, not a curated record
AACUUCAACUUUCUGGUAUAAAUAGGGCACUUCAAUAGUGGGAAAGACACAGCACAACAGUUUCGAUUACGUAGAGAAACGGUCAGAGAAUAAAGUCGUCGAACACUAUUCCAAAUCUUCAAUCAACAUGCCUAACGUCUGUUGCCAAAACAAUUGCUCAUGCGGAAACGGCUGCACUUGCUGUCAAAGCAAAUGCACAUGCGGUAGCGGAUGCAAGUGCGGACCGAACGGAGCGCCAUGCCAAAAUUCCGCUUGCAUUUGUGCCACUGGAGGUGGCGGAUGCGGAAGCGACUGCCGCUGCCCCGUGAGCUGUGGAUGCAAGACGUCCUGUUGCAAAUGAGCAACUGUUAAAUGAGAUCCAAUUACCCUCAUUUGCUUGUUUUGAUUUUUCAUUUUAAAAGCAUAUUUUACCUAAUCCAAAUUUCCUAAGGUCUAUUGGGGAUAAAAAUAUACUAUUCUUGCUAA